GCCUGAUCCAGCCAUGCCGCGUGCAGGAUGACGGUCCUAUGGAUUGUAAACUGCUUUUGUACGAAAAAAAACACUCCUAUGUAUAGGAGCUUGACGGUAUCGUAAGAAUAAGGAUCGGCUAACUCCGUGCCAGCAGCCGCGGUAAUACGGAGGAUCCAAGCGUUAUCCGGAAUCAUUGGGUUUAAAGGGUCCGUACGCGGUUUAGUAAGUCAGGGGUGAAAGCCCAUCGCUCAACGGUGGAACGGCCAUUGAUACUGCUGAACUUGAAUUAUUAUGAAGUAACUAGAAUAUGUAGUGUAGCGGUGAAAUGCUUAGAGAUUACAUGGAAUACCACUUGCGAACGCAGGUUACUACUAAUUGAUUGACCCUGAUGGACGAAAGCGUGGGUAGCGAACGGGAUUACAUACCCUGGUAGUCCACGCCGUAAACGAUGGAUACUACCUGUUGGGAGCAAUUUCAGUGGCUAAGCGAAAGUGAUAAGUAUCCCACCUGGGGAGUACGUUCGCAAGAAUGAAACUCAAAGGAAUUGACGGGGGCCCGCACAAGCGGUGGAGCAUGUGGUUUAAUUCGAUGAUACCCGAGGAACCUUACCAAGGCUUA
This 600-nucleotide ribosomal RNA is filed under the name Flavobacterium sp. Ri1Pw_5538. RNAcentral describes it as "bacterial SSU rRNA". It matches the Rfam family "Bacterial small subunit ribosomal RNA", at positions 381 to 983 of the family's 1533-position model. Lineage: Bacteria; Pseudomonadati; Bacteroidota; Flavobacteriia; Flavobacteriales; Flavobacteriaceae. The record is from RNAcentral.